ACUCCUACGGGAGGCAGCAGUAAGGAAUAUUGGUCAAUGGAGGGAACUCUGAACCAGCCAUGCCGCGUGCAGGAUGACUGCCCUAUGGGUUGUAAACUGCUUUUGUCAGGGAAUAAACCUUUCCACGUGUGGGGAGCUGAAUGUACCUGAAGAAUAAGGAUCGGCUAACUCCGUGCCAGCAGCCGCGGUAAU
RNAcentral lists this ribosomal RNA (192 nucleotides) under uncultured bacterium. RNAcentral describes it as "partial 16S ribosomal RNA". It matches the Rfam family "Bacterial small subunit ribosomal RNA", at positions 335 to 524 of the family's 1533-position model. The record is from RNAcentral.